Brassica napus (rape) is the source of this 1322-nucleotide long non-coding RNA. RefSeq lists it as uncharacterized. The transcript is spliced from 5 exons. NCBI's taxonomy places the organism in Eukaryota, Viridiplantae, Streptophyta, Magnoliopsida, Brassicales, Brassicaceae. The record is from RefSeq and is a predicted model, not a curated record.
UAAGAUAACACUUUUGUGCAAAAAUUUUAGUUUUAUCCGCCAAACAUUUAGAAAAAAAAACUCAUUCGAUCUAUCUCUUCUCUAACGAUGAUAUUUUUUUUCUCAAUUUGAGAUUGAAGAAUAUUAGUGGAGAAGGAGGAGGAGGAGACGAAGCCACGAAGGAGCUUCUGUCGGAGUUGCAGCGCUCGUCACCUCCACCACCAUCGCUUCUCAGAUCCGUCUUCGCCGGUCCCUGACUUCACCGGAGUCGCGACCACCACCGUCAUGCUCAUCAGCACCACAGAAAAAAACCUCAGAUCCGUCUUCGUCCUCUAUCGUUCUCUCUUUCACCUUCUUCUCAACUUCAAAUCGAGGAUCGACCACUCUUUAAGCUGAAGAAACUUUUUCUUGGCCAUAACCGUUUGUAAGUUCGAUUUCAAACCUGCAAAGCUCGAAUCAAUAGGGCUUUGUAGAAGUGUCAAGGAUAGGAUCGGUAUUAACGGGGCAGAAGAUAUAGGCACAACAAGGGGUUUAACAGAGCCUUUGCUCUUUGAUUUCAAUGAAGAGUGAGCUAAGAAUAAUUAUUUGAAAUCUUGAUGUGGAAUUGUGUUGAAUAGGUGGUAGUUUUCAUGUAAAGUUUCCAUCUUUCUGUGUUGAUUAUAAGCUAAUUGGAGAAGAAACUGAGUUAGUUCUAAGUUCUUGACAUGUUAUUUCGUGGAUUGUCUCCUUAUUCUAGGCCUCCAUACUUGGGAGUCUGCCUCUGUGGUCGAUCUCAAGAGCAUGGAGUUCUUUGACGGGCGUGAAUUCAAGACUGAGAGAUGGAAGCUAUAAGCGAACUCAAGAAGAAAGUUCACGAGUUUUCAACAAGUUUAUGAUGGGGUAUGCUCUAUGUCUGCCCAUAUCUCACCUUGCUUCCGUGUCAAAAAAGGCGAUCAUGUCAUCAUUGGCCAAUGCAGGUUACUUGAGUUUCAGAGAAAAGUACAGACUUUGCUAAAGACAUAAUUUCCGUUUGUGGUUGUUGUAUUGUUAUGGUGAAGGCCUUUGAUGACGUGCAGAUGAUAUUUAUCAGGAUGAUGUCGUGGAUGAGGUGAUCAAGGAAGAAUCAGCUCCAUAACCGGCUGAGGAACAGCACUGAGCUGCUAGUUUCUAGUGUUUGCAACUUUUAGCCUCUUUCUUUCACUCGCUUAUUCAUUCAAAGUAACACAUGAAGUUAGUUUUUUUAAGACUUGGCAAGAGUUAUGUUGUUAGUAUAAGAUUUGUAUGAUGUCAGUGUAAUACUUGGAAAGAUUUUGCGUAAGAUGUAUGCAUUAUGAAUUUAAUGCAAUAUAUAUUUUAGUUAUAAA